RNAcentral lists this ribosomal RNA (442 nucleotides) under uncultured bacterium. RNAcentral describes it as "partial 16S ribosomal RNA". It matches the Rfam family "Bacterial small subunit ribosomal RNA", at positions 338 to 795 of the family's 1533-position model. The record is from RNAcentral.
CCUACGGGGGGCAGCAGUAGGGAAUCUUUCACAAUGGGCGAAAGCCUGAUGGAGCAACGCCGCGUGCAGGAUGAAGGCCUUCGGGUUGUAAACUGCUUUUAUAAGCGAGAAAUAUGAUGGUACCUUAUGAAUAAGGAUCGGCUAACUACGUGCCAGCAGCCGCGGUCAUACGUAGGAUCCGAGCAUUAUCCGGAGUGACUGGGUGUAAAGAGUUGCGUAGGUGGCAUAAUAAGUAGCUAGUGAAAUCUGGUGGCGCAACCAUUCAGACUAUUAGCUAAACUGUUAAGCUCGAGACCGUUAGGGGUAACUGGAAUUUCUAGUGUAGGAGUGAAAUCCGUAGAUAUUAGAAGGAACACCAAUAGCGUAGGCAGGUUGCUGGGACGGUUCUGACACUAAGGCACGAAAGCGUAGGGAGCAAACGGGAUUAGAUACCCCUGUAGUC